Gadus macrocephalus (Pacific cod) is the source of this 335-nucleotide long non-coding RNA. RefSeq lists it as uncharacterized. The record is from RefSeq and is a predicted model, not a curated record. NCBI's taxonomy places the organism in Eukaryota, Metazoa, Chordata, Actinopteri, Gadiformes, Gadidae. The transcript is spliced from 2 exons.
ACACCUUCUACCUUUAGCUUGGUCGGUGCACAGAAACGCACGUUUCGUGAGAAUCCUCCAGUCCAAAAUGGAGAGAAAGAGAAAAGGGGGUGCAGAGAAACUGCGAGACAAGAAGAGGCUUGCUCUUCAAGCCAAUGCUGCCAAAUGUGGCAAAAUAUCAGAAAUGUUUGCCACGGCAGGGCCAUCCUCAGCUCCCGUGGAUGACAGUGAUGCUGGUGGCGAUACGAUACAACGACCUACGGUACACACCCAGUCGGAUGAACUCUACCCAUUACUGUGAUGGACGUGGAGUAUACUUUUUUUGUUAAUAAAUAACACCUUUUGGAAGUGUAUAA